Molecule: non-coding RNA, 21 nt
Filed under: Arabidopsis thaliana (thale cress)
Lineage: Eukaryota; Viridiplantae; Streptophyta; Magnoliopsida; Brassicales; Brassicaceae
Source: RNAcentral
GACCCGUCUUUAGAUCCAAUA